UUUCACCCAUUUACAGGGAUUUCGCCUUGCAGCUCUUAACUGGGAACCAUGUGGAUAUGGAAACACUUUCACCCAAUUCCAGGCAACGCGUUAAGGUUCUCAAAUAUUUGCAGAACGAAUAUGACAAAUUGGAGACUAAGUUUUUUGAGGAAUCACGUCAGUUGAAAGUUAAAUACAUGAAGCUUUAUGAACCACUUUAC
Molecule: long non-coding RNA, 200 nt
Organism: Trifolium pratense (red clover)
Lineage: Eukaryota; Viridiplantae; Streptophyta; Magnoliopsida; Fabales; Fabaceae
Exons: 3
Source: RefSeq, a predicted model, not a curated record